RNAcentral lists this ribosomal RNA (253 nucleotides) under uncultured prokaryote. RNAcentral describes it as "partial 16S ribosomal RNA". It matches the Rfam family "Bacterial small subunit ribosomal RNA", at positions 524 to 776 of the family's 1533-position model. The record is from RNAcentral.
UACGAACUGUGCAAACGUUAUUCGGAAUCACUGGGCUUACAGGGUGCGUAGGCGGCUUGUUAAGUAGGGUGUGAAAGCCCCCGGCUCAACCGGGGAAUUGCGCCCUAAACUGGCGAGCUAGAGUGAGAUAGGGGUAUGUGGAACUUCCGGUGGAGCGGUGAAAUGUGUUGAUAUCGGAAGGAACGCCGGUGGCGAAGGCGGCAUCCUGGACCGGCAUUGACGCUGAGGCGCGAAAGCCAGGGGAGCAAACGGG